Ruditapes philippinarum (Manila clam) is the source of this 564-nucleotide long non-coding RNA. RefSeq lists it as uncharacterized. The transcript is spliced from 2 exons. NCBI's taxonomy places the organism in Eukaryota, Metazoa, Mollusca, Bivalvia, Venerida, Veneridae. The record is from RefSeq and is a predicted model, not a curated record.
GUUUUUGUUUAAGUUCCAAAGGUUUCCCCGAGUUUGCAUUCAGUAACGAAAAACAUUUCAAGUAUAUCAGUAUUAACAGUGAUAUAAUCUCAAUCAUAAAAAUGAACAAACUUACGUUGGUUGUUGCGGUGAUGGUCAUACUCACAAUUUCGAGGGCGCAGGAAGAAGUUCCAAAAGCGCAGACGACACCUAAACCCACAGAAAAUCACAGAGGAAAUGACGCCGGUGGUUCAGAUACCGAGUCACGGUUACACUCAAUACAUCAAAGAUUCAUGGCAAAAGCUGGAGAAAUCCCACGUCGUAACCAUAGAAACCUUGGACACCAUGGAGGACAUGCGCAAUAUUAAUUGGAAUGUUUACUUAUUGCAUCUUAUUUCACAUUGCUCUUUUUUGUGCUUGACAUACAAAUUGACAUACUGAUAAUUAACUUUAAAAACACUUGUGACCUGAUGUUGUUGCUUUUAGUAAUACCUUAUGGCACCAAUGACGUAUGAAGGUCAAAUAAAGAUGAAUCAUGGGAAAUCUUCUAGUAUUUCGGCUUUAACUGUACUUUCCGUGAAAUAA